This 253-nucleotide ribosomal RNA is filed under the name uncultured archaeon. RNAcentral describes it as "partial 16S ribosomal RNA". It matches the Rfam family "Archaeal small subunit ribosomal RNA", at positions 474 to 727 of the family's 1478-position model. The record is from RNAcentral.
AACCAGCACCUCAAGUGGUCAGGAUGAUUAUUGGGCCUAAAGCAUCCGUAGCCGGCUCUGUAAGUUUUCGGUUAAAUCUGUACGCUCAACGUACAGGCUGCCGGGAAUACUGCAGAGCUAGGGAGUGGGAGAGGUAGACGGUACUCGGUAGGAAGGGGUAAAAUCCUUUGAUCUAUCGAUGACCACCUGUGGCGAAGGCGGUCUACCAGAACACGUUCGACGGUGAGGGAUGAAAGCUGGGGGAGCAAACCGG